Molecule: non-coding RNA, 750 nt
Organism: Mandrillus leucophaeus (drill)
Lineage: Eukaryota; Metazoa; Chordata; Mammalia; Primates; Cercopithecidae
Source: the annotation of a RefSeq genome assembly
AUGAGGUUCCCUGCUCAGCUCCUGGGACUGUUAAUGCUCUUGGUCCCUGGAUCCAGUGGGGAUAUUGUGAUGACCCAGACUCCACUCUCCCUGCCAGUCACUGCUGGAGAGCCGGCCUCCAUCUCCUGUAGGUCUAGUCAGAGCCUCCUGCAUAGUAAUGGAAAUACCUAUUUGUAUUGGUACCUGCAGAAGCCAGGGCAGCCUCCAUGGCUCCUAAUCUACAGAGUUUCCAACCGGUUCUCUGGGGUGCCAGACAGGUUCAGUGGCAGUGGAUCAGGCACUGAUUUCACACUGAAAAUCAGCCGGGUGGAGGCUGAGGAUGUUGGGGUUUAUUACUGCAUGCAAGCUUUACAAACUCCUCCCACAUUUGGUACUGGUACCAAAACAGAGGGAGAGAAAAGAAACUGCAAGCAGCAAGAGCAGGGGCUAAGCAAUGCUCUAGUCGUCUUUAGCUCUCAUGUGAUUGACAGCAUCUAUGUGAUUGACAUGGACUUUGAGUUUCUGAGUUUAAUGGAGCCCCCAAGUUUGGAAUGGGAUCUCAUGUGUGACUUGGAGCACUUGGGAGGAGCUGUCCGUGUGCUGAGCCCCCAAACCCAAAGUAAUGAGGCUCCACUGAGACCAAAUAUUUUAACAUCGUCCUCCCUCAAGUGUUUUGAAGUUUUCACAGUGGCUACGGCCAUCCCAUCGGAGCGUCAUGCAGUCAUGCAGGGUCGGAAGAAGGAAGCCUUUCCAGUGAAUGCUUCUCUGUAG